AAGGAAUUUUCCCCAAUGGGCGCAAGCCUGAACCAGCCACGCCGCGUGAAGGAUGACGGCCCUAUGGGUUGUAAACUUCUUUUCUACGGGAAUAAACCUCAUUACGUGUGAUGAGCUGAAGGUACCGUAGGAAUAAGCAUCGGCUAACUCCGUGCCAGCAGCCGCGGUAAUACGGAGGAUGCAAGCGUUAUCCGGAAUUAUUGGGCGUAAAGCGUCCGUGGGUGGGUGUUCAGGUCUGCUGUUAAAGC
This 248-nucleotide ribosomal RNA is filed under the name uncultured organism. Its description in RNAcentral is "partial 16S ribosomal RNA". It matches the Rfam family "Bacterial small subunit ribosomal RNA", at positions 356 to 601 of the family's 1533-position model. The record is from RNAcentral.